Molecule: ribosomal RNA, 257 nt
Filed under: uncultured bacterium
Lineage: Bacteria
Description: partial 16S ribosomal RNA
Rfam family: Bacterial small subunit ribosomal RNA
Source: RNAcentral
UACGUAGGAUGCAAGCGUUGUCCGGAAUUAUUGGGCGUAAAGAGCGCGCAGGCGGUAUGACAAGUCAGAUGUGAAAGAGGCCGGCUUAACCGGCAAGGGUCAUUUGAAACUGGUCAAGACUAGAGUGCAGCAGAGGAUAGUGGAAUUCCCGGAUGUAGUGGUGAAAUGCGUAGAUAGUCGGGAGGAACACCAGUGGCGAAGGCGACUAUCUGGGCUGCAACUGACGCUGAGGCGCGAAGGCUAGGGUAGCAAACAGG